CUUUAGCUUUAGCCCACACAUAAAAUUGGCCAAACAUAGGCCUGGCCCAGGCCCAAAUAAGAAGGAAGACAUGUGCCUGCGUUGAAUCAUAAGGCCCCUAAAUCAGCAACCAACUUCCAUAUGCCAUAUUAAUUGAACUAUACGAAUGUUUAAACUGGAAAUGUAAAGGCUAUUCACAUUGAAUUGUAGAUACUACUUGUAUUUUAAUGCUUGUGCAACUUAAAUGAAAAGAGACUAGGCCCAAACGUAAACUCCAAAUUAUUCCUCUAAACUCAGAUUUUCUAUCAGAUUUGGUUUACAUUAGCAGCAUAUGUAUGAACCUGAAAGCAGUCUAAGGUUAAACCUGGAAUCAAUCUCACAAUUCGACUAACAUGGACUAUAUCGCAAUAAUCACCAUAUUUAAACUUCAUCUGUUUCAUCGCAGCUGUGAUUCAUGAUUAUAUAGAUCCUAGAUAACUUGAAUUACACUAGAUCUACGACUAACUAGUUAGAUUCAUACAAAAUGAAAAGGAAACUGGCUAUAGGGUAAGAUUUUUGACAAUCCAAAAGGCUGAACCAAAUAUUAUGAACUCACAUGAGGAACUAAAGUAUACUACAACAUAUUGCUAUUAAUGUGUAACUAAACAAAUUAUGACUUUUACAGUCCAAGUCCAAGUCAAUACAAACGAUGCAUAAUCUGAUGAUAUCUGGAUGAAAUAAUAAAGCUAAACAAUAUGUGAAGAGUUAAUAUGAAAUUUAGACUUCAUUUUCUUCAUUUAAUACAACCAUUGCUCAUACAAGUGGAUCGAUUUUUACUUCAAUUGAGUCCGUAAGAGAUGGUACCUGGAUAUGAGCAGAAGAAGAGAAGGAGAGAGUCAGUCAACAGCAAACCAAACAACAAUCAGUUGGCAAAAUGUCAGUUACAUCAUAGCCUCAAGCCUAGAAUCCUUUUAAAUCAAACGAGACUAAUGCAGCAGCCCACAACAGCACCAAAAUGACUAGACCAAACUCGGGAGAUCAACAUACUCAACAAAUAACUCACGAUUUUCUCAGACCAGUCAGAUUCAACUCAAAUUGAUUCAAAACUAUGUCAAAUUUCAAGUAUCAAAUAGAAACAAAAGAUUUCAAGUUGUAUAUGGUCGAAAUGAACAAGAAAGUUGCACUAAUACUGAAAUGCAAAAUGAUCUAAGAAGAAAGUAAUGAAACAGUGUUUUCGAUUGGAUUUUCUACUGGAUUUCUGCUUGUUUUUUUUUUUUUGAUUUUUUUAAGAUUUUGAGUUUAGAUUUAAAAUUUCAUAUCUGAAACUUGUGGGGAAUGGGAGGGGAUUUUUGAGAGGCUCCAAAACUUGUGUGUGAAGGCAAUCGUGGUGCCUUUAUAUAGGUAAAAAGGAGGUGUAAGUCAGAUUUUUAGUUUUCCUUUCUAGUCCCUACUUAUUUUCAGCUUUUGUCCUUCAGUUUUUAACUUGCUACCCAAGUAACUACUCUAACUUUUUAAAUGUAGCUUGAAACCUAUUCCACAAGAUUCUAAGAAGUUCUAUUCUAAUCUAUAGCAUUCCACCCGAUCACUAAAGCCCCUAAAUGCCCCUGAAACCCCUAAAAUUACCACCGAAUGAGCUCAAUCCUCUUUUACCCUAAUUAGAUCUAUCCUCUAUAACAGAAUUCAUCAAAUUAAUAACUAAUCGAGCUGAACAUUAUACUAAUAUACUAUUAACAUCGAACAUUGAUUAUCCUAACUGAACCAAGUCACACUGAUUACAAUCAUUCAAUAACAAUCAAAUGAAAAAUAUAUUAAACUAAAUCUAACAGUUCACACAAGAUUGAAAACAGAUUAAAGGAAAAUAAGCUAAUAAUCAAACGAUUGAAUCGCCGAAUAACUGUUAACUACACUUUAGCAAAGGCAGGAAUAAUAAUCAUUGUGUUAAUCUACAUUAAUCCGACGAGCAACAAUUAAAACCUAAAAAAUACGUUGAUCCAAUAGACCCAGAUGUACACGAACUAAUUCUCGAUGAGCGAUUCUAAUCAUUCUGAAAUCCUAACUCAAAUUUACACAUGAAGGAGGAGAAAGAAAUAAACAGAAUGAAGGACUCACCAAUUAAACUCGAGUCGAACCUUCAAACUCGGAAAUGGUCUCCACUUGAUUGACAUCACAAACAGCCUCCAAUUAAUAUUAUAUGUCUAUUCUUUAACAAAAUAAACAUGCAAUACUGUUUGGAACCAAAUGCGUACCGACAGACCCUCGUUCUCUACAAUUCAACUCUUAGCCGAAAACCAUAGAUUUAAAAUCUGGUGACUUCCAAUAGGAUUUGAGGGGUUUUGGUUAGAUAUUAGGGAUGAGGGAAGGGAUAGGGUGAUUUGGUGUAAAUUUUAACCGGUUUGGGCGGCGUCGCCGCCAUGGACAUCGGAGACGGCGGGAACUCUUUCAAUUAUUCGAUGCCCUCCAAUGGGAUAUGAGAGAUGGUAAUAGUGGAUUCGUGAUGGGGUUGUUGAGGCGGUAUAGGGGUGUGAUUUUGGGGGUCAACGGCGACAGUGGUGUCUUCGCCGGCAGCGAAACUGGCGGCGAAGCCGAUAGGGGUAUAGGGGGUGGGGUUGUACAAGGAAGACGAGAGUUUGGUCUCUAAUUUUGUAAAGGAGUUAUUAAAUUUUU
Molecule: long non-coding RNA, 2622 nt
Filed under: Nicotiana benthamiana
Lineage: Eukaryota; Viridiplantae; Streptophyta; Magnoliopsida; Solanales; Solanaceae
Description: long non-coding RNA (NBEN_LNC032607)
Source: RNAcentral